UACGGCGGGGGCUAGCGUUGUUCGGAAUUACUGGGCGUAAAGCGCACGUAGGCGGACUGGAAAGUCAGAGGUGAAAUCCCAGGGCUCAACCUUGGAACUGCCUUUGAAACUCCCGGUCUUGAGGUCGAGAGAGGUGAGUGGAAUUCCGAGUGUAGAGGUGAAAUUCGUAGAUAUUCGGAGGAACACCAGUGGCGAAGGCGGCUCACUGGCUCGAUUCUGACGAUGAGGUGCGAGAGCGUGGGGAGCAAACGGG
Molecule: ribosomal RNA, 253 nt
Filed under: uncultured bacterium
Lineage: Bacteria
Description: partial 16S ribosomal RNA
Rfam family: Bacterial small subunit ribosomal RNA
Source: RNAcentral